Molecule: ribosomal RNA, 522 nt
Filed under: Triticum aestivum (bread wheat)
Lineage: Eukaryota; Viridiplantae; Streptophyta; Magnoliopsida; Poales; Poaceae
Description: partial small subunit ribosomal RNA
Source: RNAcentral
AUGUACUACUCGGUGAGCAGCAAGCAGGCGCUAGAGUGGGCCGUCCGGAACCUGUUCCGUCAGGGCGACACCGUCGUCGUCCUCCACGUCCAGCGCCACGGCGGGGAGGAGGCCAAGCACGCCGUCUGGGCCAAGUCCGGAUCCCCGCUCAUCCCUCUGUCCAAGUACCGGGAGCCGGAGGUGAUGAAGAACUACGGCGUGACCUGUGACACCGAGGUGCUCGACAUGCUCGACACUGCCGCGCGCUAGCUCAAGCUGAAGGUGGUGGCGAAGGUGUACUGGGGUGACGCCAAGGAGAAGCUCUGCGACGUGUUGGAGGAGUAGAAGAUCGACACCAUCGUCAUGGGCAGCCGCGGCCUCGACACCAUCCAGAGGUACGAUACUACUCCUGUCAAAAUGUUGCUCCGGACAUGUGCGAUUCUUGGUCAUAGUUUCCCAGAGCACGAAAUCGGCGGUUGCUGCUUGCAUAAAGUAGUACGGUAUUCUUGUUCAGAUAGGCAAUCCUCACGUCAUCGGGGUUAA